UACGGAGGGUGCGAGCGUUGUCCGGAAUCACUGGGCGUAAAGGGCGCGUAGGCGGCCUGAUAAGUAGGGGGUGAAAUCCUGCGGCUUAACCGCAGGGCUGCCUUCUAAACUGUCAGGCUAGAGCACGGUAGAGGCAGAUGGAAUUCCCGGUGUAGCGGUGGAAUGCGUAGAGAUCGGGAAGAACAUCAGUGGCGAAGGCGGUCUGCUGGGCCGUUGCUGACGCUGAGGCGCGAAAGCAUGGGGGAGCGAACAGG
RNAcentral lists this ribosomal RNA (254 nucleotides) under uncultured bacterium. RNAcentral describes it as "partial 16S ribosomal RNA". It matches the Rfam family "Bacterial small subunit ribosomal RNA", at positions 524 to 776 of the family's 1533-position model. The record is from RNAcentral.